RNAcentral lists this long non-coding RNA (453 nucleotides) under Carica papaya (papaya). RNAcentral describes it as "long non-coding RNA (CPAP_LNC006609)". The record is from RNAcentral. Lineage: Eukaryota; Viridiplantae; Streptophyta; Magnoliopsida; Brassicales; Caricaceae.
AUGUCCCAAGGAUAGGUCAUGCGCGCAUCUUGUCGUGUGCAAGCAGGCCGUCCAUACGUCACCUUAUGUGCAGACAGACACCACACACUGUGUGCAUGCUGUCAAUGCAGUAGAUCUUCAUUGAUAGGCCCUGCGCGUCUGGGGCUUGCAUACAAUAGGCCUACGCGCGCAGCUUCUGACGCACAUAGGCCCUAUGCCCCCGACAUCCAAUGCACCUAAGCCCUGCAUGAGUGAUAAGAGGCCUAUGCACCUACAGGCUAGCCUGCAACAUGCCGGUCAGGGCACUGUAGCCUUAAGUAGUGCACUGUCGCCGCCUUGCGCGGUGUGCUAUCAUCGAUAGAGGAGGCCCUACUCCCUCAUUUUUCAUGUUGAGCAUCUUGUUCUCCUAUCUUCACCGGAUUUCACCACUUUGAAUGAAUUCGAUAAUUUAAAAAUUCUAUAAAUAAGCCUUCU